UACGUAGGGUGCGAGCGUUGUUCGGAAUCACUGGGCGUAAAGCGCACGUAGGCGGAUUUGCCAGUCAGGGGUGAAAUCCCGGGGCUCAACCUCGGAACUGCCUUUUAUACAGCAAGUCUUGAGUUCGAGAGAGGUGGGUGGAAUUCCUAGUGUAGAGGUGAAAUUCGUAGAUAUUAGGAAGAACACCGGUGGCGAAGGCGACUCACUGGACACAUAUUGACGCUGAGGUGCGAAAGCGUGGGGAGCAAACAGG
This 253-nucleotide ribosomal RNA is filed under the name uncultured bacterium. Its description in RNAcentral is "partial 16S ribosomal RNA". It matches the Rfam family "Bacterial small subunit ribosomal RNA", at positions 524 to 776 of the family's 1533-position model. The record is from RNAcentral.